Molecule: long non-coding RNA, 193 nt
Organism: Carassius carassius (crucian carp)
Lineage: Eukaryota; Metazoa; Chordata; Actinopteri; Cypriniformes; Cyprinidae
Exons: 3
Source: RefSeq, a predicted model, not a curated record
UGUUUUGCAGCAAGAGACGGCGAAGAGGAGAAAAUGGAGAGAACUAAAUGAAGAGGACAUCUCAUCUUGAAAUGCUGACUAUGUUACGCUCAAAACAAAGGCUUUUGAGGUUGACAAGCCCCUUGGAGAUGCAACAAGGGAAGCAGAUUUUACUAUGGAGGUGCUUGGAAGCCUCCAAUCAUGUUCAAGGGCG